UACAGAGGGGGCGAGCGUUGUUCGGAAUUACUGGGCGUAAAGGGCGCGUAGGCGGCCCGCUAAGUCGAACGUGAAAUCCCCAGGCUCAACCUGGGAACUGCGUCCGAUACUGGCAGGCUUGAAUCCGGGAGAGGGAUGUGGAAUUCCAGGUGUAGCGGUGAAAUGCGUAGAUAUCUGGAGGAACACCGGUGGCGAAGGCGGCAUCCUGGACCGGUAUUGACGCUGAGGCGCGAAAGCUAGGGGAGCGAACGGG
Molecule: ribosomal RNA, 253 nt
Filed under: uncultured bacterium
Lineage: Bacteria
Description: partial 16S ribosomal RNA
Rfam family: Bacterial small subunit ribosomal RNA
Source: RNAcentral